This 429-nucleotide ribosomal RNA is filed under the name Bacteroidota bacterium. Its description in RNAcentral is "Bacteroidetes bacterium partial 16S ribosomal RNA". It matches the Rfam family "Bacterial small subunit ribosomal RNA", at positions 355 to 776 of the family's 1533-position model. The record is from RNAcentral. Lineage: Bacteria; Pseudomonadati; Bacteroidota.
UAGGGAAUCUUCCGCAAUGGACGCAAGUCUGACGGAGCAACGCCGCGUGAGUGAAGAAGGAUUUCGGUUCGUAAAACUCUGUUGUUAGAGAAGAACAGCGCAUAGAGUAACUGUUAUGCGUGUGACGGUAUCUAACCAGAAAGCCACGGCUAACUACGUGCCAGCAGCCGCGGUAAUACGUAGGUGGCAAGCGUUGUCCGGAUUUAUUGGGCGUAAAGCGAGCGCAGGCGGUCAAUUAAGUCUGAUGUGAAAGCCCCCGGCUCAACCGGGGAGGGUCAUUGGAAACUGGUUGACUUGAGUGCAGAAGAGGAGAGUGGAAUUCCAUGUGUAGCGGUGAAAUGCGUAGAUAUAUGAAGGAACACCAGUGGCGAAGGCGACUCUCUGGUCUGUAACUGACGCUGAGGCUCGAAAGCGUGGGUAGCAAACAGG